UUCUCGUUCCUCUUCUUCCCGUUCUUUCUUCUUUUCUUCCUGUUUUCGCCAGCGAGAGUUUUUAGAGUUAAGAGUGAGUUUUGAUUGAAGAAGCUCGGUGAUGGAGUUGUAUGCAUGUUAUAGGAUCCAAGGUUGUUGUUGAUGAAGAAGAAAAGAUGAAUCAAAGAACCAAGUUAGGAUUUUCAGUGAAUAGGAAUUAGGGUUUCUUAAUAAGCUCAUAAAAGAUGUAGAUGAUGCAGUUGAGAGUUUUGGGAAAAGAUUGGAUAUGGGUUUGGUUGAUAUGAAGAUUUAAUUGUUGUCUUGGGUUCGAAUUAAAGAAGCUACGGGUUGUAAGAUGAACUCUGAGAAUGGUGAGAAGAUGAAAUAGAUGGGUAAAUGAGUUGUUGGUAGUCAAACAACAAAGGGUUUAUUGUUUAAUUGAUGAUGUGAAUCGGUGUUGUUGAUGAAUCAGGAAGUUAGGGUUUCUCAGAGAAUCGAAUUGGAGUUCAAUUAGGUGAUGAUUAAGAUGGAAUUAGAGAUGGGUUUAUGUGUAUCAAGGUUUAGAGUUGAAGAAUUAGGGUUUGAUUAUGUUUAUUGAAGAGUAUUGGGAAUUGGCUGUGAUGAACAAUUACAGAUGGAAAAUAAGAAUAGUGUUGAAUAAUUAACAAAGGAAGAAGAUUUCUGAGUUUGAGUUGUCUUUUGAGUGUGUGGGUGAACCAAGGGUGAUGUUGAGUUGCAAUAGUUCAAGAUUAAGAGGGUUGUUGAUGAUUGUGGAAGCAACAGAUGGGUAUUUGGUGUUGAUUGAGAUUGAACUAAAUGAGCAGAGCAGAUUGGUUAGUCUUAAGGAGUUGGACUUGUAUUGGAGGUGGUUGUAAUCGAGUAUGUUGGAGGUCUGUUAUUGAAUUGUAGUCGAGUCUUGCUCAUACAUGCACGGGAGUUGGAUGAAUGGAUUAGGAAUUGGCGAAUGUUGAGUGGACACUACAGCCAUGAGGUGAACUGUGUAAGGAGAAUAGAGUGUGAAGUUGGAGGAGAUGUUGAUGUUUUUUUUGGAAAUGGAGCCUCAGGUGAUGAACAUGAAGAAGUUGAUAAUGCUUUGUGUAUUGUGAAUUAAAGUUUGUAUAUAAUGAAGCGGUUUUGGAUGAUUGAUUGUGAUGUGAGAUUGCAUGCGAUAUUGAACUGGUGGUGCUGGAGUGGUUAAGAUGGAUAUGCUGAUGUUGUUUAGGUGUGGUCAUGAGAGUUGUAUUGUAGUAGUUUAUAGAAUGAAUGGUUCCUGAAGUUCAUUCCAUGAAGAAUGGUGAAUUCAGAGUUGUA
Molecule: long non-coding RNA, 1290 nt
Organism: Papaver somniferum (opium poppy)
Lineage: Eukaryota; Viridiplantae; Streptophyta; Magnoliopsida; Ranunculales; Papaveraceae
Exons: 2
Source: RefSeq, a predicted model, not a curated record